Acromyrmex echinatior (Panamanian leafcutter ant) is the source of this 979-nucleotide long non-coding RNA. NCBI's taxonomy places the organism in Eukaryota, Metazoa, Arthropoda, Insecta, Hymenoptera, Formicidae. The record is from RefSeq and is a predicted model, not a curated record.
UGGUCAUAUAUCUAGUGACAAAGUACCGCGGAUACUUUUAAGAUGACCCAAUAUAUUGGGCAACCUCUUUUUGAGAAUGGGGGGGGGGGGGUGUGCUAAGAUAGUGAGAUAGAAAAUCGACUUCUCGCUUCUACAAUUCGUGUAUUUUGCGCAUGCGGGUAUGCACGCGGACUCAUGGCACAUAUUGUAGAGUAGUUUUAUAUAGGUCAAACAAACUCAACUUCACUAUUGAACACGUCGGACACAAUAAACGUGAUAAAGUAUGAUAAAAUAGGUUGGGAACACGCGCAUGCGCAUUGCGAAAGUACACGAAUUGUGGAAGUGAGAAGCGAUCGUCUGCACUGUGAUGUUUUCGGCAGCUCUUAAUUGCCGUUAGCAAGUAGUAUUACAUAAUAUGGCUGUGGCAGCAAAAAUGUCACGUGACGCAAAUUUUUCAUAAUUCUUUCGCUGCAUUUGCUGCGUAUAAAAAGGAAUGACAACAAUAGCAUACGUAUUAAAGUUCAAUCUCAAAUACGUCUUUUAUUUGCUCAGUUUGAAAAUUAAUAUGGAAAAAGAUAAAAACUUAUGAUUAUAUGGCAACUGUUAGUGUAGUUACAAUUUGGACAACUAUCAUACCAGAUAAUUAUUUAGAAUUUAGAAUAUUACUUGAAAUUUUAAUAAAAAUGUACUCAUUGUAUGUACUCAUUGUAAAUGUACUCAAUUUUCACAUUUUUUGCAAAUAUUGCAGAUUUUCUCAACUUCGAAUUCUUUGCUGCUCAUUAUUGUUUGUUUGGUUUAACUUCAAAUGCGGCAAAAUGUAUUUUUCGUUGAAAGUACGCCAUUUCAUACAAAAUUUUUAACCGAAUUGCUGCACGCAUUGUCACUCUCUCGUCUAGCCAUGUAAGGUACUACUUUGUAUAAUAAUGAGAUACACUGAAGAUGACUCGAAUGUAAGAAAUGUCUGAUUUCAUCGAUUUCAAUAAAUCUCUUUCUCGCAUGA